GGUUAAGCGACUAAGCGUACACGGUGGAUGCCCUGGCAGUCAGAGGCGAUGAAGGACGUGCUAAUCUGCGAAAAGCGUCGGUAAGGUGAUAUGAACCGUUAUAGCCGGCGAUGUCCGAAUGGGGAAACCCAGUGUGAUUCGUCACACUAUCGUUAACUGAAUACAUAGGUUAACGAGGCGAACCGGGGGAACUGAAACAUCUAAGUACCCCGAGGAAAAGAAAUCAACCGAGAUUCCCCCAGUAGCGGCGAGCGAACGGGGAGCAGCCCAGAGUCUGAAUCAGCUUGUGUGUUAGUGGAACGGUCUGGAAAGUCCGACGGUACAGGGUGAUAGUCCCGUACACCAAAAUGCACAGGCUGUGAACUCGAAGAGUAGGGCGGGACACGUGGUAUCCUGUCUGAAUAUGGGGGGACCAUCCUCCAAGGCUAAAUACUCCUGACUGACCGAUAGUGAACCAGUACCGUGAGGGAAAGGCGAAAAGAACCCCGGCGAGGGGAGUGAAAAAGAACCUGAAACCGUGUACGUACAAGCAGUGGGAGCACCUUCGGGUGUGACUGCGUACCUUUUGUAUAAUGGGUCAGCGACUUAUAUUCUGUAGCAAGGUUAACCGUAUAGGGGAGCCGCAGGGAAACCGAGUCUUAACUGGGCGUUAAGUUGCAGGGUAUAGACCCGAAACCCGGUGAUCUAGCCAUGGGCAGGUUGAAGGUUGGGUAACACUAACUGGAGGACCGAACCGACUAAUGUUGAAAAAUUAGCGGAUGACUUGUGGCUGGGGGUGAAAGGCCAAUCAAACCGGGAGAUAGCUGGUUCUCCCCGAAAGCUAUUUAGGUAGCGCCUCGUGAACUCAUCUUCGGGGGUAGAGCACUGUUUCGGCUAGGGGGUCAUCCCGACUUACCAACCCGAUGCAAACUACGAAUACCGAAGAAUGUUAUCACGGGAGACACACGGCGGGUGCUAACGUCCGUCGUGAAGAGGGAAACAACCCAGACCGCCAGCUAAGGUCCCAAAGUCAUGGUUAAGUGGGAAACGAUGUGGGAAGGCACAGACAGCCAGGAUGUUGGCUUAGAAGCAGCCAUCAUUUAAAGAAAGCGUAAUAGCUCACUGGUCGAGUCGGCCUGCGCGGAAGAUGUAACGGGGCUAAACCAUGCACCGAAGCUGCGGCAGCGACACUAUGUGUUGUUGGGUAGGGGAGCGUUCUGUAAGCCUGCGAAGGUGGCCUGUGAGGGUUGCUGGAGGUAUCAGAAGUGCGAAUGCUGACAUAAGUAACGAUAAAGCGGGUGAAAAGCCCGCUCGCCGGAAGACCAAGGGUUCCUGUCCAACGUUAAUCGGGGCAGGGUGAGUCGACCCCUAAGGCGAGGCCGAAAGGCGUAGUCGAUGGGAAACAGGUUAAUAUUCCUGUACUUGGUGUUACUGCGAAGGGGGGACGGAGAAGGCUAUGUUAGCCGGGCGACGGUUGUCCCGGUUUAAGCAUGUAGGCUGGUUAUCCAGGCAAAUCCGGAUAAUCAAGGCUGAGGUGUGAUGACGAGGCACUACGGUGCUGAAGUAACAAAUGCCCUGCUUCCAGGAAAAGCCUCUAAGCAUCAGGUAACAUCAAAUCGUACCCCAAACCGACACAGGUGGUCAGGUAGAGAAUACCAAGGCGCUUGAGAGAACUCGGGUGAAGGAACUAGGCAAAAUGGUGCCGUAACUUCGGGAGAAGGCACGCUGGUGUGUAGGUGAAGUCCCUGCGGAUGGAGCUGAGACCAGUCGAAGAUACCAGCUGGCUGCAACUGUUUAUUAAAAACACAGCACUGUGCAAACACGAAAGUGGACGUAUACGGUGUGACGCCUGCCCGGUGCCGGAAGGUUAAUUGAUGGGGUUAUCCGUAAGGAGAAGCUCUUGAUCGAAGCCCCGGUAAACGGCGGCCGUAACUAUAACGGUCCUAAGGUAGCGAAAUUCCUUGUCGGGUAAGUUCCGACCUGCACGAAUGGCGUAAUGAUGGCCAGGCUGUCUCCACCCGAGACUCAGUGAAAUUGAACUCGCUGUGAAGAUGCAGUGUACCCGCGGCAAGACGGAAAGACCCCGUGAACCUUUACUAUAGCUUGACACUGAACAUUGAGCCUUGAUGUGUAGGAUAGGUGGGAGGCUUUGAAGCGUGGACGCCAGUCUGCGUGGAGCCAACCUUGAAAUACCACCCUUUAAUGUUUGAUGUUCUAACGUUGGCCCCUUAUCGGGGUUGCGGACAGUGUCUGGUGGGUAGUUUGACUGGGGCGGUCUCCUCCCAAAGCGUAACGGAGGAGCACGAAGGUUAGCUAAUCCUGGUCGGACAUCAGGAGGUUAGUGCAAUGGCAUAAGCUAGCUUGACUGCGAGCGUGACGGCGCGAGCAGGUGCGAAAGCAGGUCAUAGUGAUCCGGUGGUUCUGAAUGGAAGGGCCAUCGCUCAACGGAUAAAAGGUACUCCGGGGAUAACAGGCUGAUACCGCCCAAGAGUUCAUAUCGACGGCGGUGUUUGGCACCUCGAUGUCGGCUCAUCACAUCCUGGGGCUGAAGUAGGUCCCAAGGGUAUGGCUGUUCGCCAUUUAAAGUGGUACGCGAGCUGGGUUUAGAACGUCGUGAGACAGUUCGGUCCCUAUCUGCCGUGGGCGCUGGAGAAUUGAGGGGGGCUGCUCCUAGUACGAGAGGACCGGAGUGGACGCAUCACUGGUGUUCGGGUUGUCAUGCCAAUGGCACUGCCCGGUAGCUAAAUGCGGAAGAGAUAAGUGCUGAAAGCAUCUAAGCACGAAACUUGCCCCGAGAUGAGUUCUCCCUGAGACUAUAAGUCUCCUGAAGGAACGUUGAAGACGACGACGUUGAUAGGCCGGGUGUGUAAGCGCAGCGAUGCGUUGAGCUAACCGGUACUAAUGAACCGUGAGGCUUAACCUU
This 2902-nucleotide ribosomal RNA is filed under the name Klebsiella quasipneumoniae. RNAcentral describes it as "23S ribosomal RNA". It matches the Rfam family "Bacterial large subunit ribosomal RNA". The record is from RNAcentral. Lineage: Bacteria; Pseudomonadati; Pseudomonadota; Gammaproteobacteria; Enterobacterales; Enterobacteriaceae.